GAUGAACGCUGGCGGCGUGCCUAAUACAUGCAAGUCGAGCGAACAGACGAGGAGCUUGCUCCUCUGACGUUAGCGGCGGACGGGUGAGUAACACGUGGAUAACCUACCUAUAAGACUGGGAUAACUUCGGGAAACCUGAGCUAAUACCGGAUAAUAUAUUUAACCGCAUGGUUCAAUAGUGAAAGACGGUUUUGCUGUCACUUAUAGAUGGAUCCGCGCCGCAUUAGCUAGUUGGUAAGGUAACGGCUUACCAAGGCAACGAUGCGUAGCCGACCUGAGAGGGUGAUCGGCCACACUGGAACUGAGACACGGUCCAGACUCCUACGGGAGGCAGCAGUAGGGAAUCUUCCGCAAUGGGCGAAAGCCUGACGGAGCAACGCCGCGUGAGUGAUGAAGGUCUUCGGAUCGUAAAACUCUGUUAUUAGGGAAGAACAAAUGUGUAAGUAACUAUGCACGUCUUGACGGUACCUAAUCAGAAAGCCACGGCUAACUACGUG
RNAcentral lists this ribosomal RNA (497 nucleotides) under uncultured bacterium. RNAcentral describes it as "partial 16S ribosomal RNA". It matches the Rfam family "Bacterial small subunit ribosomal RNA", at positions 28 to 507 of the family's 1533-position model. The record is from RNAcentral.